AAAAGUUUUUUAUGAAUUAUAAAACGUCAAAAAGAGUCCCUUGAGAAAGUUGUGUUGGAAAGGAGAGUUUAGGAUAAUUUGUCAUGAACUUUCGGGAUUAUUUCUUGGGAAUUGGCGAAGAAAUAUUUUAACGAGUUUCGAAAGAAAACAAAUUAAAAUAAACGUAAGAAAUAAUAAAUUAGUAUGUCGAAUGGUAUCGUGGUUACAAAUGAUAUUGAAACGCAUACAAGAACAUAAAUUACUUCAAGAGAGGCAGACAAAAGUGCAAACUCCUACGUUCAAGUUAUCUAAAGAAAAACGUUACGACGACGAUGGAGGUGGAUUCACGUCACAGAUAUACGUAACUAUUUACCAAUGCUAUAACAUUUCGGAGAAAGGAUACGAAAGUAGCACAAAUGCUGAAAGUACAAUAAAUAACGCGAUACUGAAACUAUCAAAAAGAUUCUUUGUAAUUCACUUUUAAUUAUAAUCAUAGAUAAAUUAGAAUUUCGAAAACA
This is a long non-coding RNA of Onthophagus taurus, 497 nucleotides long. RefSeq lists it as uncharacterized. NCBI's taxonomy places the organism in Eukaryota, Metazoa, Arthropoda, Insecta, Coleoptera, Scarabaeidae. The record is from RefSeq and is a predicted model, not a curated record.